This 301-nucleotide ribosomal RNA is filed under the name uncultured bacterium. RNAcentral describes it as "partial 16S ribosomal RNA". It matches the Rfam family "Bacterial small subunit ribosomal RNA", at positions 509 to 807 of the family's 1533-position model. The record is from RNAcentral.
CAGCAGCCACGGGAAAACGGAGGGUGCAAGCGUUAUCCGGAUUUAUUGGGUUUAAAGGGUCCGUAGGCGGAUCUGUAAGUCAGUGGUGAAAUCUCACAGCUUAACUGUGAAACUGCCAUUGAUACUGCAGGUCUUGAGUAAAUUUGAAGUGGCUGGAAUAAGUAGUGUAGCGGUGAAAUGCAUAGAUAUUACUUAGAACACCAAUUGCGAAGGCAGGUCACUAAGAUUUAACUGACGCUGAUGGACGAAAGCGUGGGGAGCGAACAGGAUUAGAUACCCCUGUAGUCCCUGUCUCUUAUAC